This 253-nucleotide ribosomal RNA is filed under the name uncultured bacterium. RNAcentral's name for it is "partial 16S ribosomal RNA". It matches the Rfam family "Bacterial small subunit ribosomal RNA", at positions 524 to 776 of the family's 1533-position model. The record is from RNAcentral.
UACGUAGGGUGCAAGCGUUAAUCGGAAUUACUGGGCGUAAAGCGUACGCAGGCGGCUAUGUAAGACAGGUGUGAAAUCCCCGGGCCUAACCUGGGAACUGCAUUUGUGACUGCAUAGCUAGAGUCCGUCAGAGGGGGGUGGAAUUCCACGUGUAGCAGUGAAAUGCGUAGAGAUGUGGAGGAACACCGAUGGCGAAGGCGGCCCCCUGGGAUGAGACUGACGCUCAUGUACGAAAGCGUGGGGAGCAAACAGG